Molecule: long non-coding RNA, 555 nt
Organism: Stegostoma tigrinum
Lineage: Eukaryota; Metazoa; Chordata; Chondrichthyes; Orectolobiformes; Stegostomatidae
Exons: 3
Source: RefSeq, a predicted model, not a curated record
AAUGUGCCCUUCCAUAUGGUGAAAUUGCAGCAACAGUCACGUCUGCAGUGAUGAUCUACAUAUCCAUUGUGGGAUUGUGUUUUAUCUUCGCUUUAAAGUACAUGCAGACGUGGAAUCUUCAGAAAAGAGCAAGUCGACUUUGGACAAGAUGAAAGUUGCUGCAACAUGAUGCAAUUUCCUCUGAGUGCCCGUCGCUGUGAUAUCCUAGAAGUUCCAAUCAACAAACUCUUGCAUCUCACUGCCCCAAGAAGGAAAUGUUGGCAAAGAAGUGUAUUUAAGAAGGAAAAAGAGAAAAGUGGUGGGAGUACCAGCAGCGAAAGAAUGCAGGAUCCGUGUCAAUCUGAAUUUUGGAAGAUGUGAUGAGGAAAUGAGAAAAUGAAAACGUUAUUGGAUUUCACAUACUGUACUUUAAGUACAAUCUGUGAGAUAGGUUUCUGUCAUUGUUGAUCCCAGUUUAGCAAAAUAAAGUCAAUCACAAUCAGAUUAAACUUAUUAACUUAAAGGGAAAUGUCCACUUCAGACAGGAGCUGAUAAAGAAAAUAGCCAAAAGUUUGA